This 72-nucleotide transfer RNA is filed under the name Patescibacteria group bacterium. Its description in RNAcentral is "tRNA-Pro". It matches the Rfam family "tRNA". Rfam says of the family: Transfer RNA (tRNA) molecules are approximately 80 nucleotides in length. Their secondary structure includes four short double-helical elements and three loops (D, anti-codon, and T loops). The record is from RNAcentral.
CGGGGUAUAGUGUAUCGGUAACACACACCCUUGGGGUGGGUGUGACGGCGGGUUCGACUCCCGCUACCCCGA